Molecule: long non-coding RNA, 4832 nt
Filed under: Olea europaea (common olive)
Lineage: Eukaryota; Viridiplantae; Streptophyta; Magnoliopsida; Lamiales; Oleaceae
Description: long non-coding RNA (OEUR_LNC005975)
Source: RNAcentral
UGCCUUAUAUACACGAAGGAUCUAUAUAUGCAUUUACAUACAAAAGGAAUAUUCUUCCAAUCCAGCUGUAUUGCCAUGUGCUCUAUUCAUCUUGCAUAACCGAAUCUGUUAGGCUUCUGGUUUCUUGUUAGGUUGGUUCCAAUAUUCUGACUCCCCCCUUCAAGGUGGAGUGUGUCUCAACCACUCCAAGCUUGUCCUUGAGAAACGAGAAUCUUGAAUGACUGAGUGGUUUUGUCAUCAAGUCUGCCGUUUGGUCAGAUGUCGGUAUAUAAUUAAUUUCCAAUUCUCCUCUUAGAACCUUGUCUCUUACAAAGUGAACAUCAAGCUCUAUAUGCUUGGUGCGUGCAUGGUAGACUGGAUUCGAAGCCAACGCACUUGCGCUUAAAUUAUCACACCAUAUCUUUGGCACCGACCUCUGUGGUAUUUUAAGCUCCUUCAUUAGAGAUUGAAUCCAUGUAAUUUCUGAUGCACUUUGAGCCAAUGCCCUGUAUUCUGCCUCCGUGCUCGACCUUGCUACAACAUGUUUUUUCGAGCACCAAGACACUAAGUUAUCUCCAAGGUAUACACAAUAACCAGCAGUGGAUCUUCUAUCAUCUGGGCAUGAUACCCAGUCAGAGUUAGCAAAUGCAUUCACGUCAAGAUUGUCACUUUUCCGAAUGAUAAGGCCAUGUUUUAUUGUUCCUUUCAAGUACCUGAACACCCUUUUGAGUGCCUUCCAGUGAGCAUCUGUUGGUGUUUGAAGAAACUGGCUCAUUUUGUUUACAGAGUAGGUGAUAUCAGGUCUUGUAUAAGCUAAAUACUGGAGACCACCAAUGGCGCUUCUAUACACUGUCGGAUUUUCUAAGGCCUGUCCUUCAGUUUUUGAAAUUAACUUCCCAGUUGCCAUAGGUGUCAAGCUUGGGUUCAGGUUUUCAUACCCAAAUUUUCUCAGUAGAUCAGUUGCAUAUAUUCCUUGAUUUAAAUGCAGUCCUGUUGUGUCUCUAUACACUUCUAUACCCAAGAACUUAGUGAGGUUUCCCAUAUCCUUAAGAGCAAAGCUUGUGUUUAGAUUGUCAAUGAACUGUUGUAGUUGCUGGUGGUUGCUUCCUGUUAUAACUAUGUCAUCCACAUAGACAAGUGCAAACACUACAUCCUUACCAUUUACUGAGUAAAAUAGUGAAUUAUCAGCCCUGGACUGUUUGAAAUUCCAUUCCAAUAGGGUAUUUUUCAGCUUUUCAUGCCAUGCUCUUGGUGCCUGUCUUAAUACAUACAAUGCCUUUUCUAAUUUGCAUACAGAGCUUGGAUUCCUUUCAUCUACAAAUCCUUCCGGCUGAUGCAUAUAUACUACCUCAUUUAACUUCCCAUUCAAGAAGGCAUUGUUCACAUCUACUUGCCUAAUGCUCCAAUCUCUUGAUACAGCCAGUGUCAAGAUAAUUUUUAGUGUUGAAACCUUGAUGAUAGGGCUAAAAGUUUCACCAAAGUCUACUCCAGGUGUCUGAAGAAAGCCCUUGGCCACCAGCCUUGCUUUGUGUCUCAGCACCUUGCCUUCUGAGUUGUACUUCAGCUUGAAUACCCACUUGUUUCCAAUGACCUUCAUUCCACGUUCAUAAGGUACCAAUGUCCAGGUUCCAUUUUUCAUCAGUGCAUUGUAUUCCUCCAUCAUAGCAUUUUUCCAGCUAACAGUCUGCAUUGCUUCAUCAACAGUUAAAGGUUCUGUUUCUCCUGAUUUGUCAACCUUCUGACUUGUGUAAAUUUUUGGUUUGAAAAUUCCAGCCUUACUUCUAGUAACCAUGUGGUGUCCAGCAGCUUGUGUUGCAGUUUGCUCAUCAAUGUUGACUUCAUUCUCAAUAUGUUCGAUUUCAUAUUCAACUUGUUGAAUACCACUUGCCACCUGACCACCUAAUUGACCAAGAUUUGUCUCAGCAUUGUUGUUUUCUUCUCCUGCCUCACCUUCUACUUCAGUAACAAGCUUUCUAUCAGAGGGACCAGCUGUAGUUGAUGCAUCAGGAUAGAUUAUAUCAGCUGUAUCUUGAGAAAUUGCUUUGUGGCUGGACUCAAUGUUAAACGGAAGAAGACUUAUUACAGAUUCAGAGUUUUUUGGUUGGUCUUGUCUAUUUAGAAAACCUGACUUGAAGGGAAAAACACUUUCAUUAAAAAUUACAUGUCUGGAGGUAUAUAUUUUACCACUAGAGCUUAGACACUUAUAUCCUUUGUGUGAAUCAUCAUAGCCAAGGAAGGUGCAUCUUUGUGAAUGGAAAUCAAAUUUGUGUUUUUGGUAUGGUCUAAGACAAGGAUAACAGGCACAGCCAAAGGUUUUGAGUGUUUUGUAGUCAAAGUUCUUUCCAUACAAUACUUGAAAAGGAGAUUUGUGUUGUAAUACAGGUGUAGGUAAUCUGUUGAUAAGGAAUGUUGCUGUUUUGAAAGACUCCCACCAAUAAUGUAGUGGCAUUUGAGCUUGAGCUAACAGUGCUAGGCCAGUUUCAGUGAUAUGUCUAUGCUUUCUCUCUGCCCGUCCAUUUUGCACAGAAGUAUAGGGGCAAGAAUGUCUAAAUUCAAUCCCAGAUUCCAAGGUAAUUUGGUUAAAGGCUCUAAAUUCUCCUCCCUAGUCAGAUUGCAAUGUUUUGAUCUUUCUUUCAAGUUUAUUUUCAACCAGUUUUUUGAACUGAGUGAAGAUGAUUAGUGCCUCAGAUUUAUGUUUCAUGGGGUAGAUCCAAGUGAACCUGCUAUGAUCAUCCACAAAAAUUAUAUAGUAUCUAAAGCCUGAGGUAGAAAUUCUGGGUGUUGGUCCCCAGAUAUCUGUGUAGACCAAGUCCAAGAGGUUUGAGGCAUGUGAUGAAGAUAUAUUGAAGGGCAGUGCAUGAGAUUUGCCAAAUUGGCAUGGUUCACAGAAUGCUAGUUUUUCAUUAACUUUGAUGGAUUUAUUACAUGACUUUAAGACUUGACUCAACACAUGACUUGAUGGAUGACCUAGCCUUCUAUGCCAUAUAUUAACUUCUGACUCCAACAUGACUCCCUUUGUUGACUCAUCACAACCAGAACUUACUGUGAAACACCUAGUAUUAUUUCGAUGGUUUGACUCUUGAUUUGUAGGUUUAGACUUUGAGGUUGGGUGCUUCAGCCGAUAUAAUCCAUCCUUAAGCACUCCUUGCAACAGGGUCUUCCUGGUUUUCAAGUCCUUUACAAUACAGUGAUCAGGAAAGAAUUCAAUAAACACAUUGUUAUCAUAUGUAAGCUGGGACACACUGAUCAAAUUCUUUUUAAUUUCAGGCACAUGUAAUACUUUAUUAAGUGCAAGAGGAUUAUCUAGAGUAGGGAUACUUCCUUUUCCAAUAUGUUCAAUUUUCAAUGAAUUUCCAUCACCAACUAAGAGUUUCUCCUGACCAUUAUAUUUUUUACCUGUAUUCAAGUUACCUUUGUCUCCUGUCACAUGGUUGCUUGCACCUGAGUCAGCAAACCAGGCCGGAUCUUCAAGGAUUCUUGGUCCAGCAAUAUAUGCAGAAGGGUUUGAGGUGCUGCCUUGACGAUUUUGGUUGCUAGGUCUGCUGCCCAUGUAUCUAUCAUCGUAUCUAUUAAAGCACCAACUGGCUUGGUGGUUGUUGAGUCCACAAAUUUGGCAAGGUCCUCUUCCUUCAUUUGAUCUACCUGCUCUACCUCUUCCCCUUGUUCUACCUCUGAAAUUCACACCCCUUGCACUGUUUAUACCUCUAAAAUUUCUGCCACCGGCAGGUCCUGCUCUUUGAACGGGUUGAAUGCUUGACUGCUCAACAUUCAGUGAUGUAAAAUUGUUCUUCACUUGAUUCAAGUACUCAAGCCUACUUUCAAAGGUCAUCAAUAGAGAGGACAGCUCAUACCAUGAUAUAUAAUCCCUGCUGUUGAUUUGUACCACGAUAGGUAUAUACUCAUCAUCUAAGCCUGAUAACACUUGUGUUAUGAGAUCACCAUGAUCGACUGUCUUUCCAGCUAUUUGUAGGUUGUCAGCCAAUUGUUUGAUAGUGGUGAGAUAUUGAUCCAUGGUCAUGGACCCUUUCUUUGUUCUCUGCAGUUCUCCAGUAAGAAACACUACCCUUGAUUUGUUUAGUAUGCCAAAGCUUUCUUCAACUGCCGUCCAUAGUGUGUUUGAGCUAGUACACCCCAUGACUCUCAUUGCUAUUUCUGGAGUCAUGGAAGAAUAUAACCAGCCCAUUAGCAGCUGAUCUGUCGAAAUCCAUUUGUUGUACUCAGUAUUCUGGACCAUCUCUAUUGCUUCUCCUCCAGCAGUGGUUGUUUGUGUAGCUAGAAAUUCUGAUGGACAGUUUUUAGUUCCAAGCAGGUAACCUUCGAAGUUAUGCCCCUUGAUUAUGGGCAUAACCAUGUUUUUCCACAGCAGGAAGUUAUUCCUAUCGAGUUUUACUGAUGGAGUUUGAGUGAGGUUCAUUCCAAAUGGUGAGACCUGGUUUACACCAACUUGAGUGGAAGGUGUAGUGACUGAUUCGGUUGGUGUAACUUGAUUACUGGUAUUCGUGUUAGCCAUUUUGGCUCUGAUACCAAGUCAAAAAUGUGAAAGGAAUUUUAUAUAAAUUGUUUUUUUGUUUACAUUUUUGCCUGCCUUAUAUACACGAAGGAUCUAUAUAUGCAUUUACAUACAAAAGGAAUAUUCUUCCAAUCCAGCUGUAUUGCCAUGUGCUCUAUUCAUCUUGCAUAACCGAAUCUGUUAGGCUGCUGGUUUCUUGUUAGGUUGGUUCCAAUAUUCUGACUAGUGCCAAAGCCUGCAUGGCUUGCACCUGCGCAGAAAUCGGGUUGUUUGUCAUAUUCAUGAUAUUUAGCUGGGAUUGUGGCCCACCCUGCAUAGAUGCUGCCGGGACUACUUGACCAAG